CCUACGAGUGACAGCAGUGGGGAAUAUUGCACAAUGGGGGAAACCCUGAUGCAGCGACGCCGCGUGCGUGAAGAAGUAUUUCGGUACGUAAAGCUCUAUCAGCAGGGAAGAAAAUGACGGUACCUGACUAAUAACCCCCGGCUAACUACGUACCAGCAGCCGCGGUCAUACGUAGGUGGCACGCGUUAUCCGGAUUUACUGGUGUUAAAGUGAGCGUAGACGGCAGCGCAAGUCUGGAGGGAAAGCCCAUGGCUUAACCAUGGAAGUGCUUUGGAAACUGUGCAGCUAGAGUGCAGGAGAGGUAAGCGGAAUUCCUAGGGUAGCGGUGAAAUGCGUAGAUAUUAGGAGGAACACCAGUGGCGAAGGCGGCUUACUGGACUGUAACUGACGUUGAGGCUCGAAAGCGUGGGGAGCAAACAGGAUUAGAUACCCCUGUAGUC
Molecule: ribosomal RNA, 440 nt
Filed under: uncultured bacterium
Lineage: Bacteria
Description: partial 16S ribosomal RNA
Rfam family: Bacterial small subunit ribosomal RNA
Source: RNAcentral